RNAcentral lists this transfer RNA (80 nucleotides) under Lachnospiraceae bacterium. Its description in RNAcentral is "tRNA-Leu". It matches the Rfam family "tRNA". From Rfam's summary of the family: Transfer RNA (tRNA) molecules are approximately 80 nucleotides in length. Their secondary structure includes four short double-helical elements and three loops (D, anti-codon, and T loops). The record is from RNAcentral. Lineage: Bacteria; Bacillati; Bacillota; Clostridia; Lachnospirales; Lachnospiraceae.
GCACUCGUGGUGGAACUGGAAUACACAUAGCAUUAAGGAUGCUACGCUUCGGCAUGAGGGUUCGAUUCCCUCCGAGUGUA